This 867-nucleotide ribosomal RNA is filed under the name uncultured archaeon. RNAcentral's name for it is "bacterial SSU rRNA". It matches the Rfam family "Archaeal small subunit ribosomal RNA", at positions 15 to 862 of the family's 1478-position model. The record is from RNAcentral.
GCCGGGACCCCACUGCUAUCGGGAUAGGACUAAGACAUGCUAGUCGUGUGACUCAGGCAAAACGAGUCACGGCACACAGCUCAGUAACACGUGGCUAAUCUGCCCUUAGGACGAGAACAACCCCGGGAAACUGGGGCUAACUCUUGAUAGGCGAAGAACUCUGGAAUGAGUCUUUACCUAAAUAGAUUCACGUUAUCCUCGUGAACCUGCCUAAGGAUGAGGCCGCGACCGAUCAGGUUGUUGGCGAGGUAAUGGCUCACCAAGCCUUUUACCGGUGCGGGCCGUGGGAGCGGGAGCCCGGAGAUGGGUACUGAGACAAGGACCCAGGCCCUACGGGGCGCAGCAGUCGCGAAACCUUUGCAAUAAGCGAAAGCUUGACAGGGCUAUCCCGAGUGCCAUCCGCUGAGGAAGGCUUUUACCCAGUCUAGAACGCUGGGGGAAUAAGGAGAGGGCAAGUCUGGUGUCAGCCGCCGCGGUAAUACCAGCUCUUCGAGUGGUGUGGAUGUUUAUUGGGCCUAAAGCAUCCGUAGCUGGUUAGGUCAGUCCCUUGUUAAAUCCACCGAAUUAAUCGUUGGAUCGCGGGGGAUACUGCUUGGCUAGGGGACGAGAGAGGCAGACGGUAUUUUCGGGGUAGGGGUGAAAUCCUAUAAUCCCGGGAAGACCACCAGUGGCGAAGGCUGUCUGCUAGAACGCGCCCGACGGUGAGGGAUGAAAGCUGGGGGAGCGAACCGGAUUAGAUACCCGGGUAGUCCCAGCUGUAAACGAUGCAGGCUAGGUGUUUGGACGGCCACGUGCCGUUCUAGUGCCGCAGGGAAGCUGUUAAGUCUGCCGCCUGGGGAGUACGAUCGCAAGAUUGAAACUUAAAGG